CCUACGGGAGACAGCAGUGAGGAAUAUUGGUCAAUGGCCGGAAGGCUGAACCAGCCAUGCCGCGUGAAGGUCAGUGCCCUAUGGGCGUUAAACUUCUUUUGUGCGGGAGCAAUAAUGGUCACGUGUGGCCAGACGAGAGUACCGUACGAAUAAGCAUCGGCUAACUCCGUGCCAGCAGCCGCGGUAAUACGGGGGAUGCAAGCGUUAUCCGGAGUUAUUGGGGUUAAAGGGUGCGUAGGCUGGGAGGUAAGUCAGCGGUGAAAUGCCCCCGCUCCACGGGGUGAAGUGCCAUUGAUACUGCCUUGCUGGAAUGCGGAUGCGGUAGGAGGAAUGUGUUGUGUAGCGGUGAAAUGCAUAGAUAUCACACAGAACACCGAUUGCGAAGGCAUCUCACGAAUCCGCGAUUGACGCUGAUGCACGAAAGCGUGGGUAUCAAACAGGAUUAGAUACCCCUGUAGUC
This 460-nucleotide ribosomal RNA is filed under the name uncultured bacterium. RNAcentral's name for it is "partial 16S ribosomal RNA". It matches the Rfam family "Bacterial small subunit ribosomal RNA", at positions 338 to 795 of the family's 1533-position model. The record is from RNAcentral.